RNAcentral lists this transfer RNA (72 nucleotides) under Dasypogon diadema. RNAcentral's name for it is "tRNA-Lys". Lineage: Eukaryota; Metazoa; Arthropoda; Insecta; Diptera; Asilidae. The record is from RNAcentral.
CAUUAGAUGACUGAAAGCAAGUAAUGGUCUCUUAAACCAUAUUUAUAGUAAAUUAGCACUUACUUCUAAUGA